UCUACAGCAAGCAAUGGAUGAGACCUUGUUCCCUCGCAUCAUGUCAGCUAAAACAUCAAAAGAGGCCUGGGAUAUCCUAAAAAGUGGAUUCAAAGGAACAGACAAGGUAAUCACUGUUAAGCUUCAAAUUCUUCGACGUGAGUUUGAAACUUUUUUCAUGAAAGAUUCUGAGUCUAUCACUGAUUUCUUCACAAGAGUUUCUUCUAUUGUAAAUCAAAUUAGAUCUCUGGGUGAAAAUUUAAGAGAACAAACAGUGAUAGAAAAAAUUUUGAGAAGUCUGACUACAAAAUUUGAUAUUGUUGCUACUGCUAUUGAAGAGUCUAAAGAUUUAAGUACCUUGUCUAUGAAUGAAUUAAUGGGCUCGCUUUUGGUUCAUGAACAAAGAAUUAACAGAUCUUCAGGUGAAAUAUUAGAACAUGCUUUACAAAUGAGGACNNNNNNNNNNAAAGAAAACCAAAAAAUCAAGAAAACCGAUCUCAUGGCAGAGGUCAAAAUGGCGGCAGAGGCCGUGGUCGAUUCGGCACUCGAGGAAGGGGUCGAGGCCGAUCAAAUGACAACCAAAGGAAUUUCAAUGAAGGUAACAAAGAAACUAGACAAUGUUUUCUUUGCAAAAAGGUUGGACACAUUGAAAAAGACUGUUGGUACAAAAAUAAAAAUCCCAAUGUUCCUUUCUGCUCUCACUGUAAAAAAUAUGGUCAUCUUGAUAAAAAUUGCUGGCACAAAAAUCAAGCUAAUUACCAUGAAGAGAGUAGCAGUGAAAAGAAAGAUGAGGAAAAUAUUUUUUUCUUGGCCUCUGCUGAUGAUUGUUCAAGUUGUGUUUGGUUUUUGGAUAGUGGAUGCAGUAACCAUAUGACAGGUGACAGAAAGAUAUUUCAACAGAUU
RNAcentral lists this long non-coding RNA (882 nucleotides) under Phoenix dactylifera (date palm). RNAcentral's name for it is "long non-coding RNA (PDAC_LNC006977)". The record is from RNAcentral. Lineage: Eukaryota; Viridiplantae; Streptophyta; Magnoliopsida; Arecales; Arecaceae.